Non-coding RNA from Hydra vulgaris (swiftwater hydra), 426 nucleotides. NCBI's taxonomy places the organism in Eukaryota, Metazoa, Cnidaria, Hydrozoa, Anthoathecata, Hydridae. The record is from RefSeq and is a predicted model, not a curated record.
CAACUGCAGUACCACCAGCAACAAUAUCUGCAGGACCAUCAGAUAUAUUAUAAAAUAGUAUUUAAAAUCAGUUGUCAGCCACAUGUGGUCUAUAUGAUGCAACAUGUUUGCAAUUGUUGGCAUGUCAUUUAAAAAUUUGUAACUAAUUUUGCUUUUUAAUAUUACCAUUAAUAUGACUUUUAAAAUAACAAAAUUUUUUAUUUGUUUCAAAAAAUACUGUUUUAUUACUUACAAUAUAGUAUGUUAUUACAAGAUACUUCUGGCUUUUUCUCUGUUUCAAACCAGUUUAGUUAUAUCUUUUGUUCACAAAUUUUAUUAGACGCUAUACACAUAGUUUCAUAGGUUUAAACUGAUAAAUAGCACUUUAUUGUUUUUGUUCAUUUUAGAUUAGUAUAGCAAAAAAUUAAUAAUAUAUUCGUUUAUAUA